GUAUAAAAGUGAGUAUAAUAAAAACCCAACAGUAAAUGGUAUCUGUGUGGUGCAGACGCGGUUAAAAGAAAGACCGUUUUUCGAAUAACCGUCGGAGCGGAAAGGACAACUUCCCUCUAUCUGUUAGUUUUCAAAGUUAAUUGAUAAGCAGACGUGACAGGUUGAUAAAGGAGUGACCGCCUUUGGUACCUGAACAGUCGAGAGAUCUGUGUUGUUGGCGAUUUUGUUCGAGCCAUGGCAGAGAGUACGACAACAGAGCAGUGCUGCAGUAUGGUCAGGUCGCCUUAUAUGUUACUUAUGGAGGCGUUUGCAUCGGCGGAAGAUGCAACUGAUUCGUUUCCUCUCCCCGGCCUUUCUGACGCUGAAUAUGACGUAGCCUCUCAGGU
Long non-coding RNA from Penaeus chinensis, 386 nucleotides. RefSeq lists it as uncharacterized. The record is from RefSeq and is a predicted model, not a curated record. NCBI's taxonomy places the organism in Eukaryota, Metazoa, Arthropoda, Malacostraca, Decapoda, Penaeidae. The transcript has 3 exons.